Molecule: ribosomal RNA, 492 nt
Filed under: uncultured bacterium
Lineage: Bacteria
Description: partial 16S ribosomal RNA
Rfam family: Bacterial small subunit ribosomal RNA
Source: RNAcentral
AGUGAACGCUGGCGGUAGGCCUAACACAUGCAAGUCGAACGGCAGCACAGUAAGAGCUUGCUCUUACGGGUGGCGAGUGGCGUACGGGUGAGGAAUACAUCGGACUCUACUUUUUCGUGGGGGAUAACGUAGGUAAACUUACGCUAAUACCGCAUACGACCUACGGUUGAAAGCAGGGGAUCUUCGUACCUUGCGCGAUUGAAUGAGCCGAUGUCGGAUUAGCUAGUUGGCGGGGUAAAGGCCCACCAAGGCGACGAUCCGUAGCUGGUCUGAGAGGAUGAUCAGCCACACGGGAAGUGAGACACGGUCAAGACUACUGCGGGAGGCAGCAGUGGGGAAUAUUGGACAAUGGGCGCAAGCAUGAUCCAGCGAUACCGCGUGGGUGAAGAAGGCCUUCGGGUUGUAAAGCCCUUUUGUUGGGAAAGAAAAGCAGCAGGUUAUUACCCAGCUGUUCUGACGGUACCCAAAGAAUAAGCACCGGCUAACUUCGUG